RNAcentral lists this long non-coding RNA (589 nucleotides) under Homo sapiens (human). RNAcentral describes it as "HSALNT0266277". Lineage: Eukaryota; Metazoa; Chordata; Mammalia; Primates; Hominidae. The record is from RNAcentral.
GCCUCAUACCCCGAGGCUCACCCACUUCCCCACAGUCUCGGGCUCCCCAGCCAGCCUGGCCGACUCCAUGCAGCAGAAGCUAGCUGGCCCUCGCCGCCGGCGCCCGCAGAAUCCCAGCGCCAUGUAAUGCCCAGCGGGUGCCCACCUGCCCGCUUCCCCCUACUGCCCCGGGGCCCAAGUUAUGAGGAGUCAAAUCCUAAGGAUCCAGCGGCAGUGACAGAAUCCAAAGAGGGAACAGAGGCAUCAGCAUCGAAGGGGCUGGAGAAGAAAGAGAAAUGAUGCAGCUGGUGCCCGAGCCUCUCAGGGCCAGACCAGACAGAUGGGGGCUGGGCCCACACAGGCGUGCACCGGUAGAGGGCACAGGAGGCCAAGGGCAGCUCCAGGACAGGGCAGGGGGCAGCAGGAUACCUCCAGCCAGGCCUCUGUGGCCUCUGUUUCCUUCUCCCUUUCUUGGCCCUCCUCUGCUCCUCCCCACACCCUGCAGGCAAAAGAAACCCCCAGCUUCCCCCCUCCCCGGGAGCCAGGUGGGAAAAGUGGGUGUGAUUUUUAGAUUUUGUAUUGUGGACUGAUUUUGCCUCACAUUAAAAAC